UGCCCCUAGUAACCGGCGAGUGAAGCGGCAUCAGCUCAAAUUUGAAAUCUGGCUCUUUCAGCGUCCGAGUUGUAAUUUGCAGAGGGCGCUUUGGCGUUGGCAGCGGUCCAAGUUCCUUGGAACAGGACGUCACAGAGGGUGAGAAUCCCGUACGUGGUCGCUGGCCUUCGCCGUGUAAAGCCCCUUCGACGAGUCGAGUUGUUUGGGAAUGCAGCUCUAAAUGGGAGGUAAAUUUCUUCUAAAGCUAAAUACUGGCCAGAGACCGAUAGCGCACAAGUAGAGUGAUCGAAAGAUGAAAAGCACUUUGGAAAGAGAGUCAAAUAGCACGUGAAAUUGUUGAAAGGGAAGCGCUUGCAGCCAGACUUGCCUGUAGUUGCUCAUCCGGGCUUUUGCCCGGUGCACUCUUCUGCGGGCAGGCCAGCAUCAGUCUGGGCGGUUGGAUAAAGGCCUCUGUCAUGUACCUCCUCUCGGGGAGGCCUUAUAGGGGAGGCGUAAUGCAACCAGCCUGGACUGAGGUCCGCGCAUCUGCUAGGAUGCUGGCGUAAUGGCUGUAAGCGGCCCGUCUUGAAACACGGACCAAGGAGUCUAACAUCUAUGCGAGUGUUUGGGUGUCAAGCCCGAGCGCGUAAUGAAAGUGAACGGAGGUGGGAUCCCUUUAGGGUGCACCAUCGACCGAUCCUGAUGUCUUCGGAUGGAUUUGAGUAAGAGCAUGGCUGUUGGGACCCGAAAGAUGGUGAACUAUGCUUGAAUAGGGUGAAGCCAGAGGAAACUCUGGUGGAGGCUCGCAGCGGUUCUGACGUGCAAAUCGAUCGUCAAAUUUGGGC
Molecule: unclassified non-coding RNA, 824 nt
Filed under: Neocucurbitaria keratinophila
Lineage: Eukaryota; Fungi; Ascomycota; Dothideomycetes; Pleosporales; Cucurbitariaceae
Description: sequence contains 28S rRNA gene
Rfam family: Eukaryotic large subunit ribosomal RNA
Source: RNAcentral